RNAcentral lists this transfer RNA (62 nucleotides) under Polynucleobacter sp. 35-46-11. RNAcentral's name for it is "tRNA-Lys". It matches the Rfam family "tRNA", at positions 6 to 65 of the family's 71-position model. From Rfam's summary of the family: Transfer RNA (tRNA) molecules are approximately 80 nucleotides in length. Their secondary structure includes four short double-helical elements and three loops (D, anti-codon, and T loops). Lineage: Bacteria; Pseudomonadati; Pseudomonadota; Betaproteobacteria; Burkholderiales; Burkholderiaceae. The record is from RNAcentral.
GGUAGCUCAGUCGGUAGAGCAGCGGACUUUUAAUCCGUUGGUCGCGAGUUCGAAUCUCGCCC